This 406-nucleotide ribosomal RNA is filed under the name uncultured bacterium. RNAcentral describes it as "partial 16S ribosomal RNA". It matches the Rfam family "Bacterial small subunit ribosomal RNA", at positions 30 to 526 of the family's 1533-position model. The record is from RNAcentral.
AUUGAACGCUGGCGGCAGGCCUUACACAUGCAAGUCGAACGAGUGGCGGACGGGUGAGUAAUGUCUGGGAAACUGCCUGAUAGAGGGGGAUACCUACUGGAAACAGUAGCUAAUACCGCAUAACCUCGGAUGUGCCCAGAUGGGAUUAGCUAGUAGGUGGGGUAACGGCUCACCUAGGCCACGAUCCCUAGCUGGUCUGAGAGGAGGACCAGCCACACGGGGACUGCGACACGGUCCAGACUCCUACGGGAGGCAGCAGUGGAGAAUUUUGGACAAUGGGCGAAAGCCUGAUGCAGCCAUGCCGCGUGUAUGAAGAAGGCCUUCGGGUUGUAAAGUACUUUGAGCAGAGAGGCGUUAACCGCAGAAGAAGCACCGGCUAACUACGUGCGAGCAGCCGCGGUAAUUC